This 539-nucleotide ribosomal RNA is filed under the name uncultured bacterium. RNAcentral's name for it is "partial 16S ribosomal RNA". It matches the Rfam family "Bacterial small subunit ribosomal RNA", at positions 356 to 902 of the family's 1533-position model. The record is from RNAcentral.
UGGGAAUAUUGGACAAUGGGCGGAAGCCUGAUCCAGCAACGCCGCGUGAGGGAUGACGGCCUUCGGGUUGUAAACCUCUUUCAGUACCGACGAAGCGAAAGUGACGGUAGGUACAGAAGAAGGACCGGCCAACUACGUGCCAGCAGCCGCGGUAAUACGUAGGGUCCGAGCGUUGUCCGGAAUUAUUGGGCGUAAAGGGCUCGUAGGCGGUUUGUCGCGUCGGGAGUGAAAACAGCGGGCUUAACUCGUUGCUUGCUUUCGAUACGGGCAGACUAGAGGUAUGCAGGGGAGAAUGGAAUUCCUGGUGUAGCGGUGAAAUGCGCAGAUAUCAGGAGGAACACCGGUGGCGAAGGCGGUUCUCUGGGCAUUACCUGACGCUGAGGAGCGAAAGUGUGGGGAGCGAACAGGAUUAGAUACCCUGGUAGUCCACACCGUAAAACGUUGGGCGCUAGGUGUGGGGUCCUUUCCACGGAUUCCGUGCCGUAGCUAAACGCAUUAAGCGCCCCGCCUGGGGAGUACGGCCGCAAGGCUAAAAACUC